CGCGGGGUGGAGCAGCCUGGUAGCUCGUCGGGCUGAUAACCCGAAGGUCGUCGGUUCAAAUCCGGCCCCCGCAACCA
RNAcentral lists this transfer RNA (77 nucleotides) under Escherichia coli. Its description in RNAcentral is "tRNA-Ile". It matches the Rfam family "tRNA". Rfam says of the family: Transfer RNA (tRNA) molecules are approximately 80 nucleotides in length. Their secondary structure includes four short double-helical elements and three loops (D, anti-codon, and T loops). The record is from RNAcentral. Lineage: Bacteria; Pseudomonadati; Pseudomonadota; Gammaproteobacteria; Enterobacterales; Enterobacteriaceae. RNAcentral also lists the same sequence under 1 other name.